Molecule: long non-coding RNA, 334 nt
Organism: Ornithorhynchus anatinus (platypus)
Lineage: Eukaryota; Metazoa; Chordata; Mammalia; Monotremata; Ornithorhynchidae
Exons: 2
Source: RefSeq, a predicted model, not a curated record
CAUUUGGUCGGUAACUGACUGAGGCCUGGAGGUGAUUUGCAUUCUAGGUCAUGUGAUCCCAAGAGAGUUUGGACCAAUUCUGAGUUUCUGUCCUGUUGCCAUGACAACUCGUCAACAUCAUCUCCACAGUCAGUGCGGGGGUCGACCAACAGUGAACUCGAGUGGGUUCAAGCUCUUGACGGUCACAAUCCAGAACGGGAAUGACGGUGGGUGCGAAGAGGUGAAAUGUCCAUUUCUGAGUAAACCUUGUACCCUGAAGGGUGUCGGCUCAGCUCGGAGAACGCACCCUGUGUGCAAACAUCUGCUUUUCCUAUAAUGAAUCACUUUCAUCUUA